RNAcentral lists this ribosomal RNA (1342 nucleotides) under uncultured bacterium. RNAcentral describes it as "partial 16S ribosomal RNA". It matches the Rfam family "Bacterial small subunit ribosomal RNA", at positions 28 to 1381 of the family's 1533-position model. The record is from RNAcentral.
GACGACACUCUGGCGGCGUGCUUAACACAUGCAAGUCGAACGGUAAGGCUCCAGCUUGCUGGGGUACACGAGUGGCGAACGGGUGAGUAACACGUGGGUGACCUGCCCUGCACUUCGGGAUAAGCCUGGGAAACUGGGUCUAAUACCGGAUAGGACCGCACCGUGAGGGUGUGGUGGAAAGUUUUUUCGGUGUGGGAUGGGCCCGCGGCCUAUCAGCUUGUUGGUGGGGUAAUGGCCUACCAAGGCGGCGACGGGUAGCCGGCCUGAGAGGGUGGACGGCCACAUUGGGACUGAGACACGGCCCAGACUCCUACGGGAGGCAGCAGUGGGGAAUAUUGCACAAUGGGCGGAAGCCUGAUGCAGCGACGCCGCGUGGGGGAUGACGGCCUUCGGGUUGUAAACUCCUUUCACCAUCGACGAAGGGUUUCUGACGGUAGAUGGAGAAGAAGCACCGGCUAACUACGUGCCAGCAGCCGCGGUAAUACGUAGGGUGCGAGCGUUGUCCGGAAUUACUGGGCGUAAAGAGCUCGUAGGUGGUUUGUCGCGUCGUCUGUGAAAUUCCGGGGCUUAACUCCGGGCGUGCAGGCGAUACGGGCAUAACUUGAGUACUGUAGGGGAGACUGGAAUUCCCGGUGUAGCGGUGAAAUGCGCAGAUAUCAGGAGGAACACCGGUGGCGAAGGCGGGUCUCUGGGCAGUAACUGACGCUGAGGAGCGAAAGCAUGGGGAGCGAACAGGAUUAGAUACCCUGGUAGUCCAUGCCGUAAACGGUGGGCGCUAGGUGUGGGUUUCCUUCCACGGGAUCCGUGCCGUAGCUAACGCAUUAAGCGCCCCGCCUGGGGAGUACGGCCGCAAGGCUAAAACUCAAAGGAAUUGACGGGGGCCCGCACAAGCGGCGGAGCAUGUGGAUUAAUUCGAUGCAACGCGAAGAACCUUACCUGGGCUUGACAUAUACAGGAUCGCGCCAGAGAUGGUGUUUCCCUUGUGGCUUGUAUACAGGUGGUGCAUGGUUGUCGUCAGCUCGUGUCGUGAGAUGUUGGGUUAAGUCCCGCAACGAGCGCAACCCUUGUCUUAUGUUGCCAGCACGUUGUGGUGGGGACUCGUAAGAAACUGCCGGGGUUAACUCGGAGGAAGGUGGGGAUGACGUCAAAUCAUCAUGCCCCUUAUGUCCAGGGCUUCACACAUGCUACAAUGGUCGGUACAGUGGGUUGCCAGUCCGUGAGGGCGAGCUAAUCCCGCAAAGCCGGUCUCAGUUCGGAUCGGGGUCUGCAACUCGACCCCGUGAAGUCGGAGUCGCUAGUAAUCGCAGAUCAGCAACGCUGCGGUGAAUACGUUCCCGGGCCU